Non-coding RNA from Gossypium arboreum, 76 nucleotides. The record is from Rfam. Lineage: Eukaryota; Viridiplantae; Streptophyta; Magnoliopsida; Malvales; Malvaceae.
CUCCGCAGUUAAGCGUGCUUGGGCGAGAGUAGUACUAGGAUGGGUGACCUCCUAGGAAGUCCUCGUGUUGCACCGC